AUUGAACGCUGGCGGCAGGCCUAACACAUGCAAGUCGGACGGUAGCACAGAGAGCUUGCUCUUGGGUGACGAGUGGCGGACGGGUGAGUAAUGUCUGGGGAUCUGCCCGAUAGAGGGGGAUAACCACUGGAAACGGUGGCUAAUACCGCAUAACGUCGCGAGACCAAAGAGGGGGACCUUCGGGCCUCUCACUAUCGGAUGAACCCAGAUGGGAUUAGCUAGUAGGCGGGGUAAUGGCCCACCUAGGCGACGAUCCCUAGCUGGUCUGAGAGGAUGACCAGCCACACUGGAACUGAGACACGGUCCAGACUCCUACGGGAGGCAGCAGUGGGGAAUAUUGCACAAUGGGCGCAAGCCUGAUGCAGCCAUGCCGCGUGUAUGAAGAAGGCCUUCGGGUUGUAAAGUACUUUCAGCGGGGAGGAAGGCGGUGAGGUUAAUAACCUCACCGAUUGACGUUACCCGCAGAAGAAGCACCGGCUAACUCCGUGCCAGCAGCCGCCGUAA
Molecule: ribosomal RNA, 504 nt
Filed under: uncultured bacterium
Lineage: Bacteria
Description: partial 16S ribosomal RNA
Rfam family: Bacterial small subunit ribosomal RNA
Source: RNAcentral